RNAcentral lists this long non-coding RNA (836 nucleotides) under Olea europaea (common olive). RNAcentral's name for it is "long non-coding RNA (OEUR_LNC007340)". The record is from RNAcentral. Lineage: Eukaryota; Viridiplantae; Streptophyta; Magnoliopsida; Lamiales; Oleaceae.
UGCAUCAUGGGUUCCUUCUAAUGGUAGCGCGGAUAUUCAAGUUGGAUUGUAUAUCCAGUUGAAAUUUCUAUUAUCUUCAAUUGGGUUUACAUCUUUGUUUUAUCAAAUCUUUUGGGACAUUAUUCAGAUGUACAUUGUUAGUGCUGUGCUUGAAUUUUGCUUAAGGUACUAUGCUUCCGUAGGGCUUCACUGCGACUACUGUUUUUCUCAUACUGACAUAGGAACGGGAUAAUUGGGUUGAUAAAAUUCGGAGGAGUAUCUCUGGUAAAUGGUUUUCUGUUCUAAUCAAUGGAUGUCAGCUUUUUUACAACUUAUGUAGAGGGCUUCCUCAGAGUGAUCUUAUCUCGCAAUCUCUUUUCAUAGUGUGUGCUGAAUUCUAUCUCGACUCUGAACUUUGGUGGAAAUGCAUUCCUACAUUCGCUUUUAAGCAUGGAGGCCAACUUCCCAUCUCCCACCUCGCAUUUGCAGAUGAUAGCAUUUUCUCCAAUGAACAUAAAAGAGACAUUGAAAGUUUUACGCUGUUUAUUUCCUUCUAUAAGGAGCGUUGGAGUCAGGUGGUAAAAAAGAAAAAGAAGGGUUUUGUAGUGGCAAGAACGGCCUUAUCUGCUAUGAUUCAAAUAUGGAAAGGCUUACGAGAUGAAUUUGGAUUGGAGGUUUGGUAAUUGGAGACGGUUUCUUUCGGCAUGAUUGCUAGAUGGUAACUGCAUCUUUUCCAGACCUGAGGACUGGCUUGCUAAUGAGUGGGAAAGUAUACUAAUGAGUGGGAAAGUAUACUAGUAUACAAUGAAUACCGUAUGGAGUUUCCAUGAGUGAACUAAAGAUUCUUGAAUCUCAAA